RNAcentral lists this ribosomal RNA (492 nucleotides) under uncultured bacterium. Its description in RNAcentral is "partial 16S ribosomal RNA". It matches the Rfam family "Bacterial small subunit ribosomal RNA", at positions 29 to 507 of the family's 1533-position model. The record is from RNAcentral.
AGUGAACGCUGGCGGUAGUCCUAACACAUGCAAGUCGAACGGCAGCACAGUAAGAGCUUGCUCUUACGGGUGGCGAGUGGCGGACAGGUGAGGAAUACAUCGGGAUCUACUUUUUCGUGGGGGAUAACGUAGGGAAACUUACGCUAAUACCGCAUACGACCUACGGGUGAAAGCAGGGGAUCUUCGGACCUUGCGCGAUUGAAUGAGCCGAUGUCGGAUUAGCUAGUUGGCGGGGUAAAGGCCCACCAAGGCGACGAUCCGUAGCUGGUCUGAGAGGAUGAUCAGCCACACUGGAACUGAGACACGGUCCAGACUCCUACGGGAGGCAGCAGUGGGGAAUAUUGGACAAUGGGCGCAAGCCUGAUCCAGCCAUACCGCGUGGGUGAAGAAGGCCUUCGGGUUGUAAAGCCCUUUUGUUGGGAAAGAAAAGCAGCAGGUUAAUACCCCGCUGUUCUGACGGUACCCAAAGAAUAAGCACCGGCUAACUUCGUG